CCUACACAUAAGUCUCUGCUGAUCCACAACACAUCGCUCAGGUCGGAGCAAUGCCCAGAAUAAGAAUUCCAGUUCGAGGUGCGACGCUGAGACUCCUCCCCCGACCGCGGCCCUGUCUGAAGUGAGUUUGGUAAUGCUUUGAAUACUUGAUCAUGCUGAUCACAAUGCAUGUUUCGGUAGUGAAGCAACAAAAUGGAUUUCAAGCAAUUGGUCCUUGCGGAGAUGUUGUGCUCUCGUUCUUCAAAUGAGCUACUUUUGGGAAGGCAGGCAUAUCAUUAAUCUUGCUAUAAGAAGUCCCUGGAGAGAAUGUUGUGAUGCGCAUCACAACUGGGGAUUUCUGCAAGGGAUUCAGGGUGAUGAGGUGAAUAUGACUUACAAAAUCGAAGGAUAACUUGCUCCGUGGAAAGAUCUCAGAGGGGAAAUACAAUCAUGAGGAUAUCAUCAGAAUGUUGGCUACAUGGGGCAGGGGACAAAUCAAUGCAACUCUCAAUCACUACAAAAAUCAAUUUCUGAUGAGGGUUUGAAAGCUGUGACCCCUAGGAUGAGGUUCUUGUGUUUGAUGGCUGAGUGUUAUUUCGAGAGGGAAUACUAUGGCUCAAGCCUCAAGGAGUACCGGGAACGGGGAAAGGUGUAGUCUCUCUGGAUAAAGCCUUUUAGAAGAUGGAGAUUAUGAGUCCAUGCUUCUUGUCUUAGUGUUGUACUAUGAUAAUGCAUUACAUUUAAUGUUUGGUUCUUUUGUUUUAUAGUUAUGCCUUAAAUAAAAUUAUCUGCAACAAUAUGAUAAUUACAUAUAUUCAUAUUAUAGAAAGAAAUAUUCCUUCAACAAACUUGAAGUUGCUGACAAAAAUGUACUGAUAAGCAAAGCUUGUAUUAGAGCAUUUGA
This is a long non-coding RNA of Rosa chinensis, 883 nucleotides long. RefSeq lists it as uncharacterized. The transcript is spliced from 4 exons. The record is from RefSeq and is a predicted model, not a curated record. Lineage: Eukaryota; Viridiplantae; Streptophyta; Magnoliopsida; Rosales; Rosaceae.